CCUACGGGAGGCAGCAGUGGGGAAUCUUGGACAAUGGGCGCAAGCCUGAUCCAGCCAUGCCGCGUGAGUGAUGAAGGCCUUAGGGUCGUAAAGCUCUUUCGCCAGAGAUGAUAAUGACAGUAUCUGGUAAAGAAACCCCGGCUAACUCCGUGCCAGCAGCCGCGGUAAUACGGAGGGGGUUAGCGUUGUUCGGAAUUACUGGGCGUAAAGCGUACGUAGGCGGAUUAGUCAGUCAGAGGUGAAAUCCCAGGGCUCAACCCUGGAACUGCCUUUGAUACUGCUAGUCUUGAGUUCGAGAGAGGUGAGUGGAAUUCCAAGUGUAGAGGUGAAAUUCGUAGAUAUUUGGAGGAACACCAGUGGCGAAGGCGGCUCACUGGCUCGAUACUGACGCUGAGGUACGAAAGUGUGGGGAGCAAACAGGAUUAGAUACCCUGGUAGUCCACACCGUAAACGAUGAAUGCCAGUCGUCGGGCAGUAUACUGUUCGGUGACACACCUAACGGAUUAAGCAUUCCGCCUGGGGAGUACGGUCGCAAGAUUAAAACUCAAAUGAAUGACGGAAUCUCGACUGCAGAGAGGG
RNAcentral lists this ribosomal RNA (579 nucleotides) under uncultured Alphaproteobacteria bacterium. Its description in RNAcentral is "bacterial SSU rRNA". It matches the Rfam family "Bacterial small subunit ribosomal RNA", at positions 338 to 938 of the family's 1533-position model. Lineage: Bacteria; Pseudomonadati; Pseudomonadota; Alphaproteobacteria. The record is from RNAcentral.